UCUGGAAUUCUCCUCCUCUCCCGAUUUAUCCUCUUCCUCCCCUCCCGAGAAUAGCCUCACGGGCUUCCAUGGGGUCACGUCCCACGGCAAUGCCGGCAGGCCGCCCCUCUAUUAUUCUGCUCACCAUUGUGGACCUCCACGGGCGCAGCACACGAGGAGGAGGGGCAUCUCGCCGAGUUCCCUAGGCCGGCCAUGGCAGUGCGGUGCCUCGCCGAUCCGGCCUCCGACGAACUCGGGAGGGAGACGGGGUGGCGGCGGUAUGGAGAUGGGACGGAGAAAGAGGCGACCGCGGCCUCCCCCAACCCCCUGCAAGUCCGGCACGUCAUCGUGCUGUUCUAGACGAGAGGAAUCAGCACGGCGGCCAUGGAGGCAUCGACGACGGCGCGCUGCGAAGGUCGGCGGCCGGGGUCGGCGUUGGGGGGAAGCGAGAAUCUGUGUCGGUAACAGAAGGGACCGCGAUGGUGCUGGCGGCGCCCCUUAUUCUCUCUCCCUGGCCGGGUGCUGCCCCCGGCGCAGCACGGUGGAGGAGCUCGGGGCCUCCUCUCUUCUAGAGGCGGCUGCGGGCGUGGAUGAGCCGAUGAGGACCUGGGCGCCCUCCUCUUCUCCCCGACAUGUAUUGGAGAAGAGCUGACGCGGCCAUCCUCAUAGUGUCGCUGGCGGAGCGGCUGGAUUGGAGUGGGGGCGCUGAAGGUUGCCGGGGCCCUCUCUCUCCCUGGCCACCGUCGCGCCUGGGUGCACGUCCGAGGUGCCGUCGGUCUCCAGGUCUUGCGCGCGGUAGGUUCGAGCGCGGCCACCGACGCCGACGACGAGCCACGAGCGGUGGUGGCGGAGUUCUCGGUGGAGAGCACGACGGCGACGCGCCACAGGUAAGUGACGUUGAACUCGCUGCGGCCAACCUCCCGGCAGCUCUUGCUCGCGGCAGUUCCGUCGCGCAGCGCAAAGCUCCCUCCUGCCCCUGCUCACUGCAGAGUUCCUCCGCGCCGCACGCAGCUCUAGGCCCAUGCUGGACGCCGAGUCCCACCGCGUCUCCUGUUCACCUCAACGCCGCCCCUAUUUGCGCCAGAGUCCUGCCAUGCUGCCCGCCCCUGUUCGAUGCUCAAGAUGCCGUGCCCGUGCUCACCUGGUGAUUAGUGUCCGAGGCGUGGCCGGCCUCCGGCCGUCAGGUAUGCCUUCAGAUCCUGCACGGGGAAAUUCCUCUAAUGGCUGUGUCGGCUGAUUCUGCUGCCGAGUCAGCCUCUACGUAUCUUGGCCUGUAGGCCUUUAGAAUUCAUGCUUUUCUGAACAACUUGGCAAUCAGAAUACCACUCCUUCUGUAAAUGAAGAUUUUUUUCACGUUUUUCAGAAAUUUUACAUGUGAUUGAUACAGCUGCGUCCCGGUCUGCCAAAGCAAAGCUGAACAACAUAAUUUUGUGGCUUUAUUUAUUAAAUUAAACCAUAUCAUAAUUUUGAGAGCUAGAUUGUCAGUUAUUAUUCUGAACCAAGCUAGCCCAACCAACUAAGAGGUAUAGAAACAUUUUAUUUGGUGGUAAAGUUAUGAUCUGACUCCACAAUCUUCAUGCUUACCAAACAUUUUAAUUGGCUCUCUAAAGUAGCUCAUGCCUCGGUAGGCCUACAUUUUAUAUGUUGGAUCCAUAUGGUGCCAGUUAGUUAAUCAGUUAAGUCGUUCAUGUAGGAUAACUGUCGGCUCAGUUUAACAAUUAUCUUAGCUGACUAAUUAUGGUGACUAAUUGAGUGAUUACUUAGAAUUUGGUCUAGAGAUGCAGUGUUCUGUUGAGAGUAUGAGUAGUACUAAUUAUUGCGCAUAUUUGUGCAUUUGCGCCCUCUGCAAUCUCACUUAUAGACUGCAAGAAGUAUUAUCAAAUUCUUUCCUACAAGAUAAUAAAGACGAUGGUGUCCUACUUAAAUAAAAUGUUGUGUUCCGAGCAAGCUCAUGGUUGUUUGCACUUGAGAAAAGAUUGUACCGUUGUGUUCAAUUUAAGGGACACUGCAUUUCUAAAUCAACAUUGUCAUAUGUUCCAUGACAGUAAACUAAGCUCCAGUGACAUGUUCAUACCUAAGCCAAGAAGCUGGCACGACACGGAUUAUACACUGCCAGAUCACCAGCCCCACUAGACUAAUUUGUACGAGUUCUUUGAGACCUGGAUUGUUCUAUUAUGUGAGCUAUGGUUAUGUAUAGCUUCAUAUUCUGGGUUUUCCUUAUUGAGCAAGUGGCAUGCAGAGAAACAUAAAUUGCAUAUUGGUUCAUGCACUGGGCAGGCUUGCUGCUCCUGGACGACGGCACGGUAGGCUCUUGAUCAACGGUGAAGUCAGGAAUACCUGAUGUUGAGUGGCAGGCAUUAGUGCACUUCAGGUGACACUCAUUGGAUUUUUAGGUUGAAAUUUUUGUUGUUACUCACCCACUCAUCAUGUCCUAACACUCAUGUAUUACCUGAUGUUUUGGCCUAGAAACUGGAUUGAUAAUAAUUCAGUGGUUGUCAUUACUACACCUGCUAUUUUUUUUGCUAAUGUUUAAUAUAGAAAAGGUUGUCGUAGGAGCUUCCAGAUUAUUGUGUUUGUGCCUUCGUUAUUAUAAUCUUGCACAUGGUGGCGUGAUCUUCGAUUGACAUCCGGGGUAAUACUCGAUUGGUCAUGAUUGGGUGUAGAGACCGCUUCACUCUCUCAAUUAGACACAAGAGGCAACACAGCUCUAUGGCAGUCGCAUCGGCAACAAAAUUAAGUAGUACAAUAUGUCUCUCUCUUUGAAUCAGUACACUUUCAAUUCCCCUAAUUAGCUCUACAAUGUAAUAAUAUAAUGCUGGAGCCAUUAAGUACAAUUCAACCCAGUUAGCUGAUUCAUGUGCGUUUGAUCUCAAGUCGAGUGAUCCACUUUUUUGUUUAUAUGCAGAUUCUAUGGAGUGCGCUUAAGCAGAUACUUACCAUCCCUACAGGUCGUGUCAACAACUCAUUCGGGAUAUUUGAGAUUGCCACUCUUCUGUAUGGAAAUGAAUCAGCCAUUUGCUUUCUCUGUGUUAGUGCAUAUGUAAAUGCUAUCUGGUUUGUGCGAUUGUGUUCUUCUCAUAUCCUCUUUGCAAUAUGUCAAUCAUUUUUCUAAAUAUGUUUACAAAAAUAUUAUAUGCACAUACUACCUCUUCUAUCCAACCAUUGAAAAAUGUCUAUUAUAAGCUAUUACUAACAUGCAGCUAUCAGAAAAACGUACUUAUAUGCUUCAAUGAUAUCAGUUGGCAGUAUGAUUCACAUUUUCGAGAGCCCACAUAAAAUUCAAUACUGUUACCGAUUGAACACCAAUUUUGUUAGCUAAAUAUUUUUAUAUAUUUCUUACCUAGGGCAAAAAAGAAAAGUUAUGGUUACAUUUGUAGUUGUACCCCUAUGUUUCAACACUAGGUAAUCUAUUUGGAUUGACGGUUAGAUUCUCCACCUUGAUGGAAAGAAGAGACCUGAGAGCGACACUACAAUCAAACAUACACUUGCUCAUCAUGGAACUACUGCAAGGAAAACAAUGCUAGCCAUUACCUUACAGUCUUGGCCACUCUACAGAAUACCUACCCUGACAGGUUGAUGGCUGCGGCCUAAGGUGCCAAAGGUCUGAACUUCCAAUAGCAACACCAAAGAUUUCUUCAUACAUACACGGUCGACUGGAUGUUUGUUCUUGCUCUAGGGGAUGAAAAGAUCAUAGAGGCACUGGAGCUGAGAAGGAUCCUCUUUUGCAUAUGGGUGUUUUAUCGGUUACUGAAGAUCGCGGUGGACCAAGUGAAGAGCUCACCAUCCUCUCAUCCAACCAUGAAGAUGACGGCACCGAGCAAUGACAACUCAAAGACGUGGGAACACUGACACCACCCAUCCUACUGUGGUACGUACUUGUGGAUCUCUGCUUAGCUUUUCUCGCUAGAAAAGAGCUGUCAUGUAUACCAAAUAGAAUUUAGGAUCUAUGAUAUUUAUGCAAGUCAUGUAUACCAAAUAGAAUUUAGGAUCUAUGAUAUUUAUGCAAGGCAGUUCCAUGAACUAUGUAAGCAAGUUCCAGGUAUAAAUUAAUACGACCGGCUAACCUCCGUUUUAUAA
This is a long non-coding RNA of Lolium perenne, 4056 nucleotides long. RefSeq lists it as uncharacterized. Lineage: Eukaryota; Viridiplantae; Streptophyta; Magnoliopsida; Poales; Poaceae. The record is from RefSeq and is a predicted model, not a curated record.